CCUACGGGUGGCAGCAGUGGGGAAUAUUGGACAAUGGGGGGAACCCUGAUCCAGCCAUGCCGCGUGUGUGAAGAAGGCCCUCGGGUUGUAAAGCACUUUCAGUGAGGAAGAACGCCUGGUGGUUAAUACCCAUCAGGAAAGACAUCACUCACAGAAGAAGCACCGGCUAACUCCGUGCCAGUAGCCGCGGUAAUACGGAGGGUGCGAGCGUUAAUCGGAAUUACUGGGCGUAAAGCGCGCGUAGGUGGCUUGAUAAGCCGGUUGUGAAAGCCCCGGGCUCAACCUGGGAACGGCAUCCGGAACUGUCAAGCUAGAGUGCAGGAGAGGAAGGUAGAAUUCCCGGUGUAGCGGUGAAAUGCGUAGAGAUCGGGAGGAAUACCAGUGGCGAAGGCGGCCUUCUGGACUGACACUGACACUGAGGUGCGAAAGCGUGGGUAGCAAACAGGAUUAGAUACCCCAGUAGUC
RNAcentral lists this ribosomal RNA (465 nucleotides) under Vreelandella stevensii. RNAcentral's name for it is "partial 16S ribosomal RNA". It matches the Rfam family "Bacterial small subunit ribosomal RNA", at positions 338 to 795 of the family's 1533-position model. The record is from RNAcentral. Lineage: Bacteria; Pseudomonadati; Pseudomonadota; Gammaproteobacteria; Oceanospirillales; Halomonadaceae.